RNAcentral lists this ribosomal RNA (497 nucleotides) under uncultured bacterium. RNAcentral describes it as "partial 16S ribosomal RNA". It matches the Rfam family "Bacterial small subunit ribosomal RNA", at positions 28 to 507 of the family's 1533-position model. The record is from RNAcentral.
GACGAACGCUGGCGGCGUGCCUAAUACAUGCAAGUAGAACGCUGAAGAGAGGAGCUUGCUCUUCUUGGAUGAGUUGCGAACGGGUGAGUAACGCGUAGGUAACCUGCCUUGUAGCGGGGGAUAACUAUUGGAAACGAUAGCUAAUACCGCAUAACAAUGGAUGACACAUGUCAUUUAUUUGAAAGGGGCAAUUGCUCCACUACAAGAUGGACCUGCGUUGUAUUAGCUAGUAGGUGAGGUAAUGGCUCACCUAGGCGACGAUACAUAGCCGACCUGAGAGGGUGAUCGGCCACACUGGGACUGAGACACGGCCCAGACUCCUACGGGAGGCAGCAGUAGGGAAUCUUCGGCAAUGGGGGCAACCCUGACCGAGCAACGCCGCGUGAGUGAAGAAGGUUUUCGGAUCGUAAAGCUCGGUUGUAAGUCAAGAACGGGUGUGAGAGUGGAAAGUUCACACUGUGACGGUAGCUUACCAGAAAGGGACGGCUAACUACGUG